GACGAACGCUGGCGGCAUGCUUUACACAUGCAAGUCGAACGGUAACAGGUUAAGCUGACGAGUGGCGAACGGGUGAGUAAUGCAUCGGAACGUGCCCGAUCGUGGGGGAUAACGCAGCGAAAGCUGCGCUAAUACCGCAUACGAUCUGAGGAUGAAAGCGGGGGACCGUAAGGCCUCGCGCGAUCGGAGCGGCCGAUGUCAGAUUAGGUAGUUGGUGGGGUAAAGGCUCAUCAAGCCAACGAUCUGUAGCUGGUCUGAGAGGACGACCAGCCACACUGGGACCGAGACACGGCCAAGAAUCCUACGGGAGGCAGCAGUGGGGAAUUUUGGACAAUGGGAGAAAGCCUGAUCCAGCAAUGCCGCGUGCAGGAAGAAGGCCUUCGGGUUGUAAACUGCUUUUGUACGGAGCGAAAAGGCUCUCUCUAAUACAGGGGGCUCAUGACGGUACCGUAAGAAUAAGCACCGGCUAACUACGUGCCAGCCGCCGCCGUAA
RNAcentral lists this ribosomal RNA (493 nucleotides) under uncultured bacterium. RNAcentral describes it as "partial 16S ribosomal RNA". It matches the Rfam family "Bacterial small subunit ribosomal RNA", at positions 28 to 523 of the family's 1533-position model. The record is from RNAcentral.